AGCGAACGCUGGCGGCAGGCCUAACACAUGCAAGUCGAACGAACUCUUCGGAGUUAGUGGCGGACGGGUGAGUAACACGUGGGAACGUGCCUUUAGGUUCGGAAUAACUCAGGGAAACUUGUGCUAAUACCGAAUGUGCCCUUCGGGGGAAAGAUUUAUCGCCUUUAGAGCGGCCUACGUCUGAUUAGCUAGUUGGUGAGGUAAAGGCUCACCAAGGCGACGAUCAGUAGCUGGUCUGAGAGGAUGAUCAGCCACAUUGGGACUGAGACACGGCCCAAACUCCUACGGGAGGCAGCAGUGGGGAAUCUUGCGCAAUGGGCGAAAGCCUGACGCAGCCAUGCCGCGUGAAUGAUGAAGGUCUUAGGAUUGUAAAAUUCUUUCACCGGGGACGAUAAUGACGGUACCCGGAGAAGAAGCCCCGGCUAACUUCGUG
Molecule: ribosomal RNA, 433 nt
Filed under: uncultured bacterium
Lineage: Bacteria
Description: partial 16S ribosomal RNA
Rfam family: Bacterial small subunit ribosomal RNA
Source: RNAcentral